UACGGGGGGAGCAAGCGUUGUUCGGAUUUACUGGGCGUAAAGGGCGCGUAGGCGGCCACCGCAAGUCGACUGUGAAGUCUCCGGGCUUAACCCGGAAAGGUCAGCCGAUACUGCGGGGCUAGAGUGCAGAAGGGGCAACUGGAAUUCUCGGUGUAGCGGUGAAAUGCGUAGAUAUCGAGAGGAACACCUGCGGCGAAGGCGGGUUGCUGGGCUGACACUGACGCUGAGGCGCGAAAGCUAGGGGAGCGAACGGG
This 254-nucleotide ribosomal RNA is filed under the name uncultured bacterium. RNAcentral's name for it is "partial 16S ribosomal RNA". It matches the Rfam family "Bacterial small subunit ribosomal RNA", at positions 524 to 776 of the family's 1533-position model. The record is from RNAcentral.